AAUCAACGCUGGCGGCGUGCCUCAGACAUGCAAGUCGAACGCGAAAGAGGGCUUCGGCCCUUGAGUAGAGUGGCGCACGGGUGAGUAACACGUGGGUAAUUUACCUUUGGGUGGGGAAUAACAGUCGGAAACGGCUGCUAAUACCGCAUAAUGCAGCGGCUCCACAUGGAGACAGUUGUUAAAGCGGGGAGCGAGCAAUCGCCCUCGCGCCUGAAGAGAAGCCCGCGGCAGAUUAGCUAGUUGGUGAGGUAAUGGCUCACCAAGGCUUCGAUCUGUAGCCGGCCUGAGAGGGCGGUCGGCCACACUGACACUGAAU
Molecule: ribosomal RNA, 316 nt
Filed under: uncultured bacterium
Lineage: Bacteria
Description: bacterial SSU rRNA
Rfam family: Bacterial small subunit ribosomal RNA
Source: RNAcentral